CAAUGGUUCGCCAAGGCAGACCGCAGAAUCAAAUUGAAUGAACUCAGCCUGUCGAGCGACAGCCUGCUGGCGGCAAUCCAGAUGGCAGAGUCAGGCGUCGGUGUUGUCCUCGCGCCGUUCCCCUUGGCGGCAUCGGUUGUGGNGCCGCCUCAAGGCCCUCUUUCGUCCGUCACUCCUGAUGGACAAACGCGAUUUUCAUCUCGU
This 204-nucleotide unclassified non-coding RNA is filed under the name Hevea brasiliensis (rubber tree). Lineage: Eukaryota; Viridiplantae; Streptophyta; Magnoliopsida; Malpighiales; Euphorbiaceae. The record is from RNAcentral.